GACGAACGCUGGCGGCGUGCCUAAUACAUGCAAGUUGAGCGCUGAAGGUUGGUACUUGUACCAACUGGAUGAGCAGCGAACGGGUGAGUAACGCGUGGGGAAUCUGCCUUUGAGCGGGGGACAACAUUUGGAAACGAAUGCUAAUACCGCAUAAAAACUUUAAACACAAGUUUUAAGUUUGAAAGAUGCAAUUGCAUCACUCAAAGAUGAUCCCGCGUUGUAUUAGCUAGUUGGUGAGGUAAAGGCUCACCAAGGCGAUGAUACAUAGCCGACCUGAGAGGGUGAUCGGCCACAUUGGGACCGAGACACGGCCCAAACUCCUAAGGGAGGCAGCAGUAGGGAAUCUUUGGCAAUGGACGAAAGGCUGAACGAGCAACGCCGCGGGAGGGAAGAAGGGUUUCGGAUCGUAAAACUCUGUUGGUAGAGAAGAACGUUGGUGAGAGUGGAAAGCGCAUCAAGUGACGGUAACUACCCAGAAAGGGACGGCUAACUACGUG
RNAcentral lists this ribosomal RNA (497 nucleotides) under uncultured bacterium. Its description in RNAcentral is "partial 16S ribosomal RNA". It matches the Rfam family "Bacterial small subunit ribosomal RNA", at positions 28 to 507 of the family's 1533-position model. The record is from RNAcentral.